Molecule: ribosomal RNA, 431 nt
Filed under: uncultured bacterium
Lineage: Bacteria
Description: partial 16S ribosomal RNA
Rfam family: Bacterial small subunit ribosomal RNA
Source: RNAcentral
AACGAACGCUGGCGGCAGGCCUAACACAUGCAAGUCGAGCGCCCCGCAAGGGGAGCGGCGGACGGGUGAGUAACGCGUGGGAAUAUGCCCUUUGCUACGGAAUAGUCUCGGGAAACUGGGGGUAAUACCGUAUACGCCCUUUGGGGGAAAGAUUUAUCGGCGAAGGAUUAGCCCGCGUUGGAUUAGGUAGUUGGUGGGGUAAUGGCCUACCAAGCCGACGAUCCAUAGCUGGUUUGAGAGGAUGAUCAGCCACACUGGGACUGAGACACGGCCCAGACUCCUACGGGAGGCAGCAGCGGGGAAUCUUAGACAAUGGGGGCAACCCUGAUCUAGCCAUGCCGCGUGAGUGAUGAAGGCCUUAGGGUUGUAAAGCUCUUUCAGCUGGGAAGAUAAUGACGGUACCAGCAGAAGAAGCCCCGGCUAACUCCGUG